This 292-nucleotide ribosomal RNA is filed under the name uncultured bacterium. RNAcentral's name for it is "partial 16S ribosomal RNA". It matches the Rfam family "Bacterial small subunit ribosomal RNA", at positions 505 to 796 of the family's 1533-position model. The record is from RNAcentral.
GUGCCAGCAGCCGCGGUAAUACGAAGGUGGCAAGCGUUACUCGGAAUUACUAGGCGUAAAGGGCAGGUAGGCGGUUUGGUAAGUCUGUUGUGAAAGCUCCUUGCUUAACGGGGAGAGGUCAACAGAUACUGCCAGGCUUGAGUAUAGGAGAGGGUACUGGAAUUCCCGGUGUAGCGGUGAAAUGCGCAGAGAUCGGGAGGAACACCAAUGGCGAAAGCAGGUACCUGGACUAUUACUGACGCUCAGCUGCGAAAGCUAGGGGAGCAAACAGGAUUAGAAACCCGUGUAGUCC